Non-coding RNA from Candidatus Saccharibacteria bacterium 49-20, 135 nucleotides. NCBI's taxonomy places the organism in Bacteria, Candidatus Saccharimonadota. The record is from Rfam.
AAAAUUGAAUUCGACAUACCAAAGACAGUGGCCGCAGAAAUGCUUAAUUUGCCACCGAGGAAAUGAAAAAUAUACAUUUUUCUAAUUCUGAGUCUUUGGCAGUGCGAGGCCCAAAGACUCAUUUUAAUUUCUAAA